AAUUGUUACAGCUCUUUUAGAAUUUGUGUAGCAGGUUUUCACCAGAAACCAAU
Pongo abelii (Sumatran orangutan) is the source of this 53-nucleotide small nuclear RNA. Its record names the gene U7. It matches the Rfam family "U7 small nuclear RNA". From Rfam's summary of the family: Animal histone pre-mRNAs are spliced by a different mechanism than nuclear pre-mRNAs and self-splicing introns. This processing involves the U7 snRNP, which contains only one RNA species: U7. NCBI's taxonomy places the organism in Eukaryota, Metazoa, Chordata, Mammalia, Primates, Hominidae. The record is from Ensembl.